Aegilops tauschii subsp. strangulata is the source of this 5928-nucleotide non-coding RNA. The record is from RefSeq and is a predicted model, not a curated record. Lineage: Eukaryota; Viridiplantae; Streptophyta; Magnoliopsida; Poales; Poaceae.
GGGUGGACUGCAGCGGUCGUACGGUGAAAAACCUAGCCCGCACACGACCCUCGCUCCUUCUCCUCGACCUCCCUCCUCUUCCUCCUCUUCUGCCGCCGCCGCCUCUCCUCUUCUUCUCUCUCCUGUGUUGUCGCCGCUUCUCAUCCCCCUCUCCACGCUAGCACGGUAGGGUCAUCGGGAUGAGCAGCGGCGGGCAUCUGUCGGUGUGCUGGAGUACAGUGGCGGGCUUCUGUGGUGUGCUGGAGUGCGCGGAUGAUGAAAGCAGCGGGAGGAGCACGCAGUGCAGGGUGAGGCAGCGGCCACGACCGCGCCCUCCUCUGCGCUUCCUCUCCAAAUACCCUCGGCUUCCGCACGGUGGAGACGGGUACACGGGCUAGGCAGACCACGGGACGACGGGUGGUCGAGCACCCACCACAGCGAGGAGAGAUCGAGUCCGCACGGUGGAGACGGGGUACACGGGCUAGGCAGGCCACGGGACGAUGGGUGGUCGAGCACCCACCACGGCGAGGAGAGAUCGAGUACAACUCCCAGUUCAUGGAGGGGAUGCUGAAUUGCUGAUACAUGUUUGCUCUCCUCCUCUGCCACUCUCAGGCCCAGCAGGCACCGGCGACACAUGAGCAGGAGGAGGAGCCCUUCCCAGGCUCGCGGGCCGGCUGCGAUGAAGCCGCCAGAGGAGGACCUGGACGACGACUGUGCUAGCCGAGGAGCCCCAAAGAAUUUCCCCAAACUUUCCUCUUGAUUCAUUUAAGUUUUGAUCAUUUCUCUGUAGUAGUUGAAGUUUCUGCCGUACAUUGAUCCUGUUGGAAUUGAAUAAAAGAUCAUUUUAUUAGUUUCCUAUUAGCAUUUUCCAUGAAACAUGAUGAUUACGUUCAGUGAGGUUCUCAAUUUAAUAUUCUGAAUGCACAUAUGUUUGAUAUUCAAUUUGAUAACAAAGUAACCUCGACCAAUAGUUUUUGGCCAUUUGCAUAUAGGUUGAGGGAGUGCUCCUUGCUUCGAGAAGUACUUUUGAUUAAAGCUUCUUCGAUGCCCCAUGAACACUCAGGUUUGCUUUCAAGCUGCAGCGGAUUGUUAAAACGUAUUGUGGUUCAUGAAUUAUUUAGCAAUGAUAAAAUUUUGUCUAUUGUUAUUUGUUUUUAGGAUGUAUCAAGUUCCCCAGGUCGAUGUUUAUCUUAGCACAUGACUGAAUAGUUUGACAAUGUUUAUAAUUUAUCGCUUUCAAGUCAGCCUUUGUGUGAUUCAAAAAGAACACACAGACUGUUGCGGGGUACAAAAUUACUUUUUCAGCUGGGUUUGUUCAAUAGGCCGUAAAUUUUGAGCAGAACCAUACAGAUCAACGGUCCAUGUUUAUAUAUACAUGCAUAAGAAUAUGUGUUGUGCAGCGAGGAUUUGUACAGAUUGGAAAGGGAAUUAACUAACAUCUUCGUAACGGCAGAAUGUUCCGUGAUUCUUCAUGUAAGAUACUAAGAUUUGUUGGUGAUGCUUUGUUUGAGGUUCUGGGUACAAGUUGUUUACAUUGCACUUCAAUUCAGAGCAUGGAGGGCUAAGAUGAUCACCAAUCGAUGACUAUUUCUUGUGUUUAUGGAAAUGGUACCCUGUAAUGAAUACCUUCAGCUACAUAGAUUCCUCAACCAAAGUUCAUGAUGGUUCAAUUUAUUUGAUGUUUUCUUCAGUUUUGGGACGGCAGUCACAGGAGCCAUUGCAUUUUCUUUGUCGCAAUGGCAUUAGGUAGUUGUACCUACUGCGGUUGUUACACUAAUAUCUACUUAUUACCUGUUACUAUAGUUACAAAGCUUCAACAGUUUACUAUAAAUUAGACUGGUUUGAUUCCUAGAUAUCAUUGUAUUUUACCCAUAGGAUCAAUUUCCAAUGAGUUGGUGCCUAGGGUCUUGCAGCGAGCACAUUUUCUUUAGCUGCUGCCAUUUAUUCUGCUGCUUUCCUACAGCCUAGCACUCUUCUGUGGUGGGGCAUAUGUUAUUUUGUACCAAUGAUAGAUACAGAAAGUGCAAGACUUCUACUCUCUACUUAAUGAACUGAUUUUGCUUCAGGAUAACUAGCUUGAUUAUUAGCAUGUUUCUGUGAUCAAUGAAUUACUAAGGUUGUGACCCCAGCUUGGAGGCUUGAGUUCCUUCGGUAGUUCUUUAUUUUACUUAAAUGAUCAUGAACCCUUUACUUAACAUAUGUCCUUGUGUACCUUAGCAAAGAAUUAGUUAGAUAUCUCAAUUUUUCACGUGGGCCGUAGUCGUUGCUUAGUUAGCAUUAUUGUUUUGUUACGUGUUAUCAUGUGUGCUGAACCUAUGCAGAUAGGUCUUACUUUGUCUUAGUUAUAGUUAAGAUCAAUGCGUACUGGAACAUUUAAGUAUUUCACCUAUAAUUUUCCAAGUUUGUGGCGAGCAUAUGUUUUCAUAUUACUGCAGGAGAGGUUGGUUUCACAUUGUAUUUGGAAGAACAAGAUGCCCCAGAUCAAAUAUUACCAAAAAAUCAGAAGAGCUAGGUGUAUAUAUGAUGAGAUGAUCCGCUCUUUACAUUUUUUCUUGACGUGUAAAAGGUGCACUAGCUUGUCUAUGACCCUCAUUGUUGUUUGGAAACAUUUCUGCUCUUCGCUUCAACAAUGCGCUCCUUUUUUUGUGAAGAGCAAUGCACUCAUUGAUGCUACUUUGUUAACAUGUCUUUGUUGGGUCUCGUUCCUUAUUUUUAUACCUACGGAUUUAGCAAGAGACUUUUUUGUCUCUGUAUUUUCACCAUACUUCCAUUCAUAUUUUUAUUAGUGCAGUUUCUGAAUUAUUAUCCAGUGCCUUUUGGAGCUCGAGCUCCAUGGGACCCGAUAUUUGUACAUGUUUCAACCUGUUUUUUCUUGGAAGGUAAUCAUACGCUGAGCGGGAGGGUGUACCUAUUUUUUCAUCAAUUUGCCUUCUUUUGCUCUCCUAUUACCAUUCUCCUUUAGACAUAUCUUAUUUGAGAUUGUGCCUUCUUCGCCUUAUGACAUCUUUUUCUUAGCGAGUAAUUCCACCAUCUUUUUUGUUGUUUGGUUCCUAUUUGCUACUUCAGUGGUUUUUCCCUAAUCCUGAGCUGGUGAUUUUGUUAUUUUGUUUCUACCUGGAGUCUGUAGAAAAGUGAAACCGUUUUACAUUUUAAUUUGCUCUGCAACUAAAGUCAUGUUGGACUCUAGGUGAUGAAGGACUAGCGUUGAGCCUGAGGUGACCUCAGCUCGUUUUUUCAAUUCUGAUUUAGUUCAGAUUUUGAAACAUGAUUGCUACUUCAAAUUUGAUUAUCUUUUUUUGUCUUUCUGUAGUAGUGUUUUGUCUUUUAAAUUGCACUGCUAUUGGUACUUUGAUUCUGCUUCUAACCAUAUACAAGAGCAUCAGCGGGGAGCUAGGCCUACCUCUUAUUUAUGUUCUAUGCAUCUAAAUGCCGCCCUUUUUCAUUUUUACUCUUCUUACAAUUAUCUUGAUGUACGUAAUCUUUUUUUAUUCGGGUGAUUUCGCUCACGAGAUGCUUACAUGGUACUUGAGGUUUAAGCCCAUGUACCCUGCAUGUUUAUUGAUGUGGUUCAUCAUGCCUUCCUAGCUCCUUUUCAGCUGCCUGCUCAAAGUGAUUGGGCAUGUGAUGUUGUUGACACUGCUGUGUAAAUAAUAUUUCGUGCCCAGCAUCUUAGUUCAGCUGAUGGUUUGCAACUUAUAUCACUUACUUUACCUGCUUUAAGUAGGUGAUUUUAAUGCUUUAAGUAGGUGAUUUUAACCUGCUGGAGCCCUCUGUGAUGAAAAAAAGUGAACUGUUCAUGCCUUAUUUUAGAAAACUAAAUAUGCACCAUGCUGAUAUACUUCAUGUCGAGCAUGGUUUUGACAUCCAUUAAUGAUGCCCUGUUUUGACUUUUGAGUAGACGAUUCUUUAUUUAUUAACCUAUACACCAAUACUGUUUCCAUUGAUCAAUCUCAUAGUACUUUGUGUGUGUUUUUCUUAUCUUGAGCUGAAAACUUAUUGUCAGGUUAAACUAUUUUGUGGAUCAUUUAUAAUAUGGAUGUUCUGUAAAAGAAUAUUUACUGGAAUGUUAUGUAAAACCUAAGGCUCAAAAGGAAAGCUUCGGUAAAUUAGAAUAUUUAUUGAAAUAUUUAGGUGUUUCAUUAAAUUGGUCUGGAAGUCCAAGCUCGUCCAUUUAAUUAUUUGAGAGCAUCAUCAGUAUAGUUUUUUCCCCAGAGACACAAUUUUGAAAAAAAAGAUGCAUGGCCACCAAAUGAAUGUGUUGCUAUGCCGACUACUGUCCAGUCCAUUUACACUUCUUAAUUUGCUCUCUCCUGGAUUUCACAGGGCUCGAGUCCUAUAUAUAUUCUAAAUGUAUUUAUGCAAUUUUACUCUGGUGCUUGCACAUCCAUGGAUCUGAAAGUAUUGCGGGAGCUCCCAUGAUGGACUAUGAUGAAAAAGUAUUUCUUGUUGCCUGUUCUGUUGUGGUGCAAGUGUCCCAUGAUGGACUAUGAUGAAAAAGUAGAGAGGGGCAUUGCCCGCUCUACUUCUUUCUCCAGUCAAGGACCUAUCCUGGAACGGCCCUCCUAUGCCCUGCUCCUCCCGCAUUGGUGCAAAUUCGCUUCCUCCCCCGCCUCCGUCUCCACGUGUGCAGCGACGACCCCGGGAGGAGCUCGAGCCGCAGCGGUGGUCCAUGGUGUCAUCGCCGUCGUCCUCGGCAAGCGUGGGCUGCAGAGACGGCCGGAUUUGUCUGACCCUCGCGCUGCCGUCUGUCCACCCUUGAGGAUAAUGUGUUUGCUCCGCUGAUCUGUACAGUUUCAAUACCGAGUUGUUAAGGAGAAUGCUGAUGAUGCAUAUUCUACGAGUUGCAGACCCCCCAACAGCAAAUUCAGUCCUAAGUCUUUGAUGUGGUUCGAGCCAUAGUUGGAGCUAGACAGUCUUUUUGAGCAAAAAAAUGAUAUCGCAAAGGCCAGGAUCAAAAUCAUUACAUAAGUAUAUGUGAAGUGUGAAGAGCUACUUGAAUACACGUGAAAUGCCAUUUCAUUUUAUUUCAGGACUUGAGAGAAAUGCUGAUACUAUGAGAAACGUUUACAAGGAUGACAGACCGUGUGCGGCACAGACCUCGAUGGCGUGCCGCAUCAUUUCGGCCCAACCCCAAUGUUUCCCUCGCCACCCACGGCCAGAUGGUCGAAGACAUCCCGACGGCAGUUCUUAUUUUUGGAAAUAUUUUCCAAGGUGAAGUGUGAAGAGCUACUUGAAUACACGUGAAAUGCCAUUUCAUUUUAUUUCAGGACUUGAGAGAAAUGCUGAUAUUAUGAGAAACGUUUACAAGGAUGACAGACCGUGUGCGGCACAGACCUCGAUGGCGUGCCGCAUCAUUUCGGCCCAACCCCAAUGUUUCCCUCGCCACCCACGGCUAGAUGGUCGAAGACGUCCCGACGAAGCAGCACAUGCCUGUCCCUUCUUUCAUUGGCGGUGGGAGAAAGAGGAUCCACCCGCUCCCUUAUGCUGAUCUGAGCCUUCCUUAGUUUUAAAUUAAGGCAUCGCGGUCAAUUUAUAUGGUCUUCUGAAGUUUCACCUUCCCAUUGUCAUAUUGGUUUGAUCAAAUCAAUGGGGAGCCGGCAUUACUUUGAUGUACUGGCUUACAAUCUUAUUAAGCUGAUGUUCUUGCUCAGUAUAAGCCAACAAUGGAGAAACUGACCAAGCUAUCUUUCAUGAUCAGUCAUUCAGCCCAUUUUCUUGAACCUGCACUACAACGAGAGAUCUGGGCUGCUUCUUUGUGGCUUCCAAACUUGAAAUGUUUGUAUGGAAGUUAGUUUAGUUUUUUGUUGUGGAUUCACAGCUUCUCAAAUGUACCGUCCUCUUAGACCUCUAGAUUUCCAAAGAAACUAAAUGAAGAUAUGGUGGUAUGGUCUCAAUAGUACAACUUAAAGCCUUCCGUGCUUUAUAUUUUCUCUGAAAUUUGCUCUUGAA